RNAcentral lists this transfer RNA (542 nucleotides) under uncultured cyanobacterium. Its description in RNAcentral is "partial 16S-23S ribosomal RNA intergenic spacer". The stretch from base 212 to 284 matches the Rfam family "tRNA". Lineage: Bacteria; Bacillati; Cyanobacteriota. The record is from RNAcentral.
CAGGGAGACAACAAAAUGUUUAAUAUUAUUAUUUUGUCACCUUAGGUCGAUCGGUAUCUCACGUUCUUAAUUUUUUAAGAAUUUCAUUUCCUAAGUUUUUCUAGGUCACACCCAUUAUUUUUCCUGGGCCAUUAGCUCAGGUGGUUAGAGCGCACCCCUGAUAAGGGUGAGGUCCCUGGUUCAAGUCCAGGAUGGCCCAUAUCUCUAUGUUGGGGGUAUAGCUCAGUUGGUAGAGCGCCUGCUUUGCAAGCAGGAUGUCAGCGGUUCGAGUCCGCUUACCUCCACUGAUUACCACCUCUUCCAUAACAGGUAGAAAGGAAAUGUUUUGAGUUGUGAUCAUUAUUCUGAACGAAUCUAGCUUCCUAAUGAAAUCAUUAAGAUGCUGGACUCAUUGAAUUAAUUUCAUUGUUUUCAGAGAACCUUGACAACUGCAUAGAUUAUUUUUAAAGACAAUAAGCAUCUUUAAUGAUGCAGAUUUAUUAUUUGUGCGAAUGCAUUAAUAACAAUUCUAUUAAGCUGAUGCUUCAAUUUUUGAAGUUAUU